AACACAAUCUAGGGUUUUAGAGUGGUGGAGUGGGUAGAAGAGAGUUUCGUAGUCGCAACCUAAUCAAAAGAAGCGCAACUUCAAGCGAGUGACAACCACCAACCAUGGGUCGUAUGCAUAGCCGUAGAUUUGGUAUAUCCUCUUCUGCUUUGCCCUACAAAAGGACACCCCCUAGCUGGCCUAAGAUCUUUUCGCAUGAUGCUUAUGGAGUCCAUAUGAAUGGCUAUGUUGAGAUGGAUAGCAGAAACACCUGUGGAGUCCAUAUGAAUGCUUGAUCAUCUAGUUGUAGGAGGAUUGGUUUGUAGUUUCAUUUGCAUUUGUUCUGACCUUGAAAUGUUUAAACAUUUCUCCUUGAGACCACUAUUACCUUGUAUGUGAACCAUUUUUCCUCUGGUUAGGAACUGAACAAUGUUAAUAAUUUGCAAACACAAAAUAAGCAGAUCAAUGUUGGCUAAUAAGAUCAAUUUACUAUUAAAUGUUUCCUUUAGUUCAAUACAUUAUCAUUGAGUUUCUGAGUUAAUUGCUACUGUGACAGCCACACAAAAUUGACUGUUAGGAGAA
Long non-coding RNA from Glycine soja, 561 nucleotides. RefSeq lists it as uncharacterized. The record is from RefSeq and is a predicted model, not a curated record. The transcript is spliced from 3 exons. NCBI's taxonomy places the organism in Eukaryota, Viridiplantae, Streptophyta, Magnoliopsida, Fabales, Fabaceae.